This is a long non-coding RNA of Panthera uncia (snow leopard), 197 nucleotides long. RefSeq lists it as uncharacterized. The transcript has 2 exons. The record is from RefSeq and is a predicted model, not a curated record. Lineage: Eukaryota; Metazoa; Chordata; Mammalia; Carnivora; Felidae.
GUAAUUUACUCCUGGCCGGCGGGUACUCACCUGGCUCUCAGACCCAGCGUUGUGGAAGGACGAGACCGCUACACAAUUCACCGCAGGUGUUCAACAUUUUCUGAGCGCUGGUUAUGAGUCAGACACUGUACUGGGCACCGGGAUACAAAAGCAAAUAAGGCACAAUACAAUCCAAAUGAAUAAAGCAAUAUAUAUCA